This 72-nucleotide transfer RNA is filed under the name Camelus ferus (Wild Bactrian camel). It matches the Rfam family "tRNA". Rfam says of the family: Transfer RNA (tRNA) molecules are approximately 80 nucleotides in length. Their secondary structure includes four short double-helical elements and three loops (D, anti-codon, and T loops). The record is from Rfam by way of RNAcentral. Lineage: Eukaryota; Metazoa; Chordata; Mammalia; Artiodactyla; Camelidae.
GAGGGUGUAGCUCAGUGGUAGAGUGCGUGCUUAGCAUGCAUGAGAUUCUGGGUUCAAUCCCCAGUACCUCCA